Molecule: unclassified non-coding RNA, 349 nt
Filed under: soil metagenome
Description: partial contains 5.8S ribosomal RNA, internal transcribed spacer 2, and large subunit ribosomal RNA
Rfam family: 5.8S ribosomal RNA (bases 1-122)
Source: RNAcentral
GAUGAAGAACGCAGCGAAAUGCGAUAAGUAAUGCGAAUUGCAGAAUUUCUAGUGAGUCAUCGAAUCUUUGAACGCACAUUGCGCCCUUUGGUAUUCCGAAGGGCAUGCCUGUUCGAGCGUCAUUAUCAACCCUCAAGCCUGGCUUGUUGUUGGACCUCAGGUCGCCGCUCCGGUGGACCGGUCUCAAAGACAAUGACGGCGUCCGUGGGACCCUCGGUGCAAUGAGCUUCUUCCAAAGCACGCAUCAGAGUGGGCUCGCGGGGGCCGUCUCCCCGUCAUAUUUAAUCAAGGUUGACCUCGGAUCAGGUAGGAAUACCCGCUGAACUUAAGCAUAUCAAUAAGCGGAGGA